CGGAACUGAGGGUAGGGGAGGCGUGUCGGAGCGCGUGCGACGCGUUCAGGAAGCCCGAGUACUGCUGCAGCGGCGCGUACGCGAGCCCGGCCACCUGCCGGCCGACGGCGUACUCGCAAGUCUUCAAGGCGGCGUGCCCCAAGUCGUACAGCUACGCCUUCGACGACCCGACCAGUACCUUCACCUGCACCGGUGGGGCGGAUUACACCAUCACCUUCUGCCCGGACUCCGUCCCAAGGUAUACCAUUACAAUUCAUCUGUGCAUGUUUGACGACAGUUCAAGAUCUGGUCUUCUUCCUGCAUUUGUUCUUGCUCUAAAUUGUCAUAUUGUUCUCCAA
This 338-nucleotide long non-coding RNA is filed under the name Musa acuminata (dwarf banana). RNAcentral describes it as "long non-coding RNA (MACU_LNC002519)". Lineage: Eukaryota; Viridiplantae; Streptophyta; Magnoliopsida; Zingiberales; Musaceae. The record is from RNAcentral.